RNAcentral lists this long non-coding RNA (797 nucleotides) under Vulpes vulpes (red fox). RNAcentral's name for it is "lncRNA (ENSVVUG00000024500.1)". Lineage: Eukaryota; Metazoa; Chordata; Mammalia; Carnivora; Canidae. The record is from RNAcentral.
CAGAUGCUGGGGCUGUGCGCUCUCGCUCCCCUGCAGAUGCAGAUGCUGGGGCUGUGCGCUCUCGCUCCCGGGUAGAUGCUGGGGCUUGCGCUCUCGCUCCACUGUAGACGCUGGGGCUGUGCGCUCUCGCUCCCAGGUAGAUGCUGGGGCUGUGCGCUCACGCUCCCGGGUAGAUGCUGGGGCUGUGCGCUCUCGCUCCCCUACAGAUGCAGGUGCUGGGGCUGUGCGCUCUCGCUCCCCUGCAGAUGCAGGUGCUGGGGCUGUGCGCUCUCGCUCCCCUGCAGAUGCCAGCGGCUACUUCCUAUCGCGCUUUCUCGAAUCAACGACCAGGCGGUUGUAAGCACCGAGAGCAGCCCGAGGCCACAGGGCCCCCUUCCCUGCGCGGUCCUGGGCCCUGCACACCGCGAACCCCACCGUGGCCCCGCCGCGCCCCCGCGCCCCGUCUCGGUGCUGCCGGCGGUGGAGAGGCCCGUGGUUGCGGCUGGAGCCUGCAGCUCCGCCGGCGCCUCCCGGGGCCCGGGCCUCCCCCUCCUCCCGCCAGCGGCUGCGGCCGCCCGUCCGCUGACCCGGGGGCACGUCGCCCGGAUCAAGGGCUCACCGGGCGGCACGGGGCCGUUCUCCGAUUCCACCGGCCCUGCGCUCGUGGCGAACGGCAGCCCCGCAGCCGCCGGGCACGCGCUCAACGGCCUGUCUGUAAUCACGCGUGUCCCGGGCCCACGCGGGCUCCGGCAGGGCCAGGCGACACGGCCAGCGCCCCGCCCGGCCGCUAAGCGGCGGUGUCCGCGGCCCCGGCAGAG